Long non-coding RNA from Mustela lutreola (European mink), 1553 nucleotides. RefSeq lists it as uncharacterized. The record is from RefSeq and is a predicted model, not a curated record. Lineage: Eukaryota; Metazoa; Chordata; Mammalia; Carnivora; Mustelidae. The transcript is spliced from 2 exons.
UCUCUGGGGUGGGAUGGCAUCAUGGCAGUGAGAGCCAAAAAACGUUCUGCGUGGUGGUCCUUCGCAUUUCCUGAAAGGGCCCUAAUGUAAUCGGGUGCUGGAAAAGUCACUCCCCCUUCCUAGAGUGUGUAAAUGCUGAGAAUGGGCAACAAGGAGCUCAAAGAUGCACCAGAAAGGGAACGAUUCCAUCGACUGUGGGUAGCCCUAAGGUUUACACACAUGUGUUUUGCAAAGCAGGGGUUUACUGAAUAUGUGGUUUGUUUGUUUGUUUUAAUCACCUGUUUUCGACAUUUAUGGUGGUGGUGAGUAUUUCCCAUGGCAUUCCGUGGAGUGUUAUUUCAAAGUAUGUACGUAGAUUGGCUCCUUCAUUGCAUCAGAUGAUUUUUUUUUUUUAAUAGCUAUUUUUUAGAGGAGUUCUAUAUUCACAGCCAACUGGAAAAGUGCUGAGAGUUCUCAGAUCCCUCUCCCCCUACUCCGGCACAGACCACCUCCUCCCCCCGACCAUCAACAUCUCCUACCUUACAACUGAUGAACCUACAUUGACACAUCAUCACCCAGAGUCCAUAUGUUUGGGCUCACUCUUGGUGUUGUAUGUUCUAUGGGUUUGGACAAAUGUAUACUGACAGGUGUCCCCUAUCAUAGUGUCCUGCAGAAUAGCUUGCUUGCCUUCAAAGUCCUCUAGGCUCCAGCUGUUCUUCCCUCCCUCCCCCUUAACCGCUGACUACCACUGAUCUUUUUACUGUCUCCAUGAUUUUACCUUUGCCAGGAUAUUACAUACUUGGAAUCGUACAGUAUAUAGCCAUUCCAGAUGGGUUUCUUUCAUGUACCGUUCCUCCAUGUCUUCUCGUGGCUGGCUCAUUCCUUUUCGGCACUGAAUAACUGGGUACACUAGUUUAUCCAUCCAGCUGCUGGAGGACAUCUUGGUUGCUUCCAAGUUUUGGUAUGGACAAAAGUUUUCAACUCUCUUACCAAGGAGCACGAUGGCCAGAGCACAUGGUAUAUGGCUGAAAGAAGUCAAGUAGAGAGACUCAGAUGCUUGCCCAUGAAUCUCCGUAGCACCAGCAUCACAGUGGCCAAAACGAGGAGUCAACCCAAGUGUAUCUGAGAUGAACAAAAUGUGAUCUAGCCAUAUAACAGAAUGUUGAAACAAGUGAAAGAAGCCAGCACGAAAGGACAAAUUACUGUAUGGUUCCAGAGUCCUCAAGAAAAAGUAGAUGAGAGGUUACCAAGAACUGGGAGAAGAAAGUGGGUUGUUGCUUAAUUGGUAUGGUUUCUGUUUGGGAGGAUGAAAAAGUUCUGGAAAUAGAUAGUGGUGAUGGUCACAGGACAUUGUGAAUGUAUCUAAUGGCACUGAAUUGUACACACAAAUUGUUAAAAUGAUAAAUUUUUAUGUAUAUUUUACUACAAUAGAAAACAAACAAGAAACCCUAGCACCACUUAGCUGUCACCACCCCAGUUCCUCCAUCCCCUGGCCCUAGGCAGCCAUUAACCUACUCUCUGUGGAUUUGUCUGUUCUGGACAUUUUAUAUAAAUGAAACCAUACAAUAACACGA